This 1026-nucleotide long non-coding RNA is filed under the name Gallus gallus (chicken). Its description in RNAcentral is "lncRNA (ENSGALG00010029977.1)". Lineage: Eukaryota; Metazoa; Chordata; Aves; Galliformes; Phasianidae. The record is from RNAcentral.
UAAAACGGAAACCUCCCCGGACACCUGUGUUGAAUUGGACUUCUGCAAUAGGAAAGCACAUUCCCUUUGUGCCUUCUUCACCCAAACGCCCAGGCUGCUGCUCUCUGGCAGCAAAUCCCAUCCCAUUGCUCCUUGCAGCAGCCUCCAGGUACCUCCGGGUCGGGGUGCAGGUAGAGGGCUUGGGACAAAGCAGUGUUGGGGAGCCUUGGAGAUGGAGAACUGCCCUGCAGAGUGGAAGAGGCAUUGAUGGGCACCUCCAACAGCCUCAGCUCCUGGGGUUACUGCAGUGCCGGGCCAUGCAGAGCAGGUAGCAGAGGAGCACAGCGUGGAGUGGUGACCCAGGGUCUCUCACCGCCUCCCCUCACGGAUCAGCAGAUUCCCCCCACAUCUGCUGCAUGCCCAGGAAUGCUGCUUGGAGUUCUGCUACCGAGACCGUAAGGCAGCACUGGGGCUGCGCAGCGACUGCACACUUGUUUCCUAAGUGCUCCCUCUCCUGGGCUGUGGCCUCACCGUCCCAGAGAAAAGCCCAUUCUUUCAGGCAAAUCGGGGGUACUUCGGGUUGAGCAGCCUGCAGAACAACACUGGGACCUCCCCAUUGCUCCGGGCAGGCCCGGGUCCGCAGGGGAUUCACCAGCAGUGUUUUAUACCUGGGGAUUCUGCAGGCCAGAAGGGAAAGGCUGCGUCAGCUUUCCGUCCGCCUUCAGCUCCGGGGUCCUUGGGAGCACAGGGGAUUUAAAAAGGGAAAAAAUGUAGUUUCCUUCAAAGAGUGGAAAGAUGGGGGAUGAACCCGAGGGAUGAACAGAAAAGGUUUCUGCUGGGCUGCUGUGACUCAGAAAUGGCAUUUUCUAUAUUCUAAUAAGAGAUGUCAAGUCAUAGGUAAUUUAUUCAUGGCAAGCUGAUGCAGUUGCUAUGGAGAGCAUGAUAGGGAGAAACUCCUUUUUAAUGCAUAGUCUAUUGAGGAGGAAAGCAUCUGUCAAAGAUAAAACCUUGGUGAGAGGAUAAAAGCAGCAAACAGUGAUUAGGAGC